AUCUCAAAAGAAACAUAAAGAGAAAACUUCCAAUCGAAACACAUUCCUUCACAUAGUAACCUCCUCCGUCUAUGAGAAAAGCUGCAUGUCAUUGAUAGCGUGUGUGUUUUACUAUGUCCUGCACGUCACUAAAGGUCGUCAUCCUCCUCCACACACAGACUGACUGAUCUACAAAUCACUUUGCCUAACAAAUACAUAUCUAUUGUUACUUGCAGAUCAGUCAGUCUGUCACCAUUUACCAACAAUGCACUAUUAGUCUGUAAUUUCCUUGUUCAUGUUGUUGUGUGCAACUCCAGUCCUUAAAGGCUACAGUGUCUACAUGUUUUGAUCAAUGUAGAUCAUUGACUAGUUAGGACCUCCUCUCACCUGAUUGUCUGUCUUAACAGGAUUUCAUCAAAUCCUUUACGUCCCUCCUAGGGUCCCUCUCUCCUUCUUCCAAGGAGAAGUCACAAGAUGAAUACAGAUUAAGUGGCAAUGUGUAUUUCUUUGAAGAUGCAAAGAGGAAAAAUGGGAAUAUAUAGCCUAAUGUAUAGGUGGCUAAAAUAAUAAGGACGAACUGGCGACCUACCUGUUAUCUGUCCAGGGUCCAGACAUCUGGUGUGAGCGAAAAAUCUAUAAACCACAAGUGUCACAUGGCCGGAUAAGAAAAACAGAAAAGAAAAAUCAUCCAAGAAGAAAUACAAAUCAACAAGUGAUAUAUGCUUUUGUCUCCCCCUUUUGACAAAAACAGGAUAAGACUUUACUGUUUAUUGACAUGUAAGAUACAACUUUGGUCAUGGAAAACAGAGUAAAGCAGAGCAAAGCAUUAUUAUAAACCAUCUGGUCCUCUCAGCACCUCCUAU
Molecule: long non-coding RNA, 842 nt
Organism: Oncorhynchus kisutch (coho salmon)
Lineage: Eukaryota; Metazoa; Chordata; Actinopteri; Salmoniformes; Salmonidae
Exons: 3
Source: RefSeq, a predicted model, not a curated record